Molecule: ribosomal RNA, 497 nt
Filed under: uncultured bacterium
Lineage: Bacteria
Description: partial 16S ribosomal RNA
Rfam family: Bacterial small subunit ribosomal RNA
Source: RNAcentral
GAUGAACGCUGGCGGCGUGCCUAAUACAUGCAAGUCGAGCGAACAGACGAGGAGCUUGCUCCUCUGACAUUAGCGGCGGACGGGUGAGUAACACGUGGAUAACCUACCUAUAAGACUGGGAUAACUUCGGGAAACCGGAGCUAAUACCGGAUAAUAUAUUGAACCGCAUGGUUCAAUAGUGAAAGACGGUUUUGCUGCCACUUAUAGAUGGAUCCGCGCCGCAUUAGCUAGUUGGUAAGGUAACGGCUUACCAAGGCAACGAUGCGUAGCCGACCUGAGAGGGUGAUCGGCCACACUGGAACUGAGACACGGUCCAGACUCCUACGGGAGGCAGCAGUAGGGAAUCUUCCGCAAUGGGCGAAAGCUUGACGGAGCAACGCCGCGUGAGUGAUGAAGGUCUUCGGAUCGUAAAACUCUGUUAUUAGGGAAGAACAAAUGUGUAAGUAACUAUGCACGUCUUGACGGUACCUAAUCAGAAAGCCACGGCUAACUACGUG